AUUCCAUAGUCGAAGAUAAAUGUGGUAGAGUUCAGCGAAGACCAUCUUGUCUUGUACACCAAUGGAGAAGUAACGCAGAGAUGGAGUUUGAUGCCUUCCACCAUCUUUUACGGAUGAAGAAGGCUAAAUAUCUAAAGAAGUGGAUGUAUGAAUCAUCUGUGCGAGACAGGCCGAAGCAACAUCGUCUUCUUCUCUGUCCACUUGUGAACUCACUCUUUCUCAGCAAGACCGGUGAUGGCGCAGCUUGUUUACGGACUGCAGAGGGGGAGGAGGGCAGAGGAGGAGGUGAAGAAAGAAGAUGACAGAUGCAAGCCGAGAAGGAAGAGAAGGUGAAGAGGUCUGUGACCGUAGGCAAGUCUAAUGCUUGGCUUUGGGGGGAGCAGUUCAUCCAUCUCCCCUCUGUUUCCUUUUUUUCUUUUCCUGUGUUUUCCUCGGCAUCAUGUCGCUCUCUUAUUGGAUUAUUCUUCCUCAAAUUUACGGCUUGAUUUGGUGGUGUGUGUGUGCUGAUCUUUCCUUCUUCUUCAAUUAAUGCUUGAUUUGGUUGAGAUGUAAUUGCGUGAUGGAUCGAAGAUGAAUCAUGAAAUAAUGACAGUUCCAUUAGAUACUGUGAUCGACCCUUUUUCUCCA
Musa acuminata AAA Group (dessert banana) is the source of this 627-nucleotide long non-coding RNA. RefSeq lists it as uncharacterized. The record is from RefSeq and is a predicted model, not a curated record. NCBI's taxonomy places the organism in Eukaryota, Viridiplantae, Streptophyta, Magnoliopsida, Zingiberales, Musaceae. The transcript has 2 exons.